GUAUUGAUUGCGUGUGACCGCAAAAACAAAACAUUCUAGACUGUAUCGAAUUUUGUGUGAAAACGUGAGCACCCCCCCCUCCGAGGAAGGGAGGACACACGCGGUGAUGCACAAAGGGGUAAGAUGGAUAUUUGUAUGUGAGAGGACUCGGGCGUGCACGACAAAAAAAAAAGCCAGCGACAACCCUCGUACCCCCAUUGUACGAUAAUGAUCCUUCCGCAGGUUCACCUACGGAAA
Molecule: unclassified non-coding RNA, 237 nt
Filed under: uncultured fungus
Lineage: Eukaryota; Fungi
Description: sequence contains ITS1
Source: RNAcentral